RNAcentral lists this long non-coding RNA (254 nucleotides) under Athene cunicularia (burrowing owl). RNAcentral describes it as "lncRNA (ENSACUG00000013825.1)". Lineage: Eukaryota; Metazoa; Chordata; Aves; Strigiformes; Strigidae. The record is from RNAcentral.
AUCCUCUGUGGCUUCAUGCAUUACCGCAAAACUUAAGUCCCGAAUUAAAGACAGAAAAUAUGAGACAGAGCAUGAGAAGCCAACUUCAGGAGUAUGCAUUUUGUGAUAUCCUCAGCGUUUUCUUUUACAAUGCAUUCUGCUCAGGCCAGUGAAUUUUGUUUAACUGACCAGGUAAGCAAAUAUACAUAGUCACAGUUUUUUCAUUAAAAUGUUUUCCAGACACUAGGCGACUAAUUCUGAGAGACUGGUGUUCU